Molecule: non-coding RNA, 110 nt
Organism: Acanthosepion pharaonis
Lineage: Eukaryota; Metazoa; Mollusca; Cephalopoda; Sepiida; Sepiidae
Source: the annotation of a GenBank genome assembly
UGGUCAUAUAGUGUUGAAACACUAGUUCCUGUUAGAUCGCUUAAGUUAAGCAACCUUGAGCCUGGUUCGUACAUUGAUUGGUGAACGCUUGGGAAUACCAGGUAGUGUAA